CAGGAUAUAGUUUAACAAGAAUGCUGGCUUUGGGGGCCAGGGGUGGGGUAAGUAGCCCUGUCCUGA
Molecule: transfer RNA, 66 nt
Filed under: Synapturanus sp. QCAZ 59998
Lineage: Eukaryota; Metazoa; Chordata; Amphibia; Anura; Microhylidae
Description: tRNA-Pro
Source: RNAcentral